Molecule: RNA transcript, 750 nt
Organism: Sorghum bicolor (sorghum)
Lineage: Eukaryota; Viridiplantae; Streptophyta; Magnoliopsida; Poales; Poaceae
Exons: 4
Source: RefSeq, a predicted model, not a curated record
CCUACAGCCCACAGUCGACCGCACCAACUCGCGGCCCGUCGCUGCGCUCGCUGCUCUGGUCGGCGGACGGCACCGUGGCGACCGGUCGGACCGGACCGCCGUUCGCCGGAUCAUCCCUGUUUUCUCUUGCGUGCUUCUCUCGUCAUCUUGUGGCGACGACUGGGCGACUGCCGACGGCCGCUGCUUGCUGGAGACGAGCACCCAACAGAUCGUUAAGGAGAACCAGAAGCUUCACAAAGUCAAUAUUGAGAUUGAAGAUGAGAUUUCAGAACAGAAGGGCGAAAUACUGCAGGUCGAGGAAGGCUUUAGAGGGACUCUUUUGACAUCAAGUGUUUCACCACAGCUUUGUUAGGGUAUAUCAUUUAGUGAAUGAGUUUCUUUCGUCAGAUAUAUGGCUGCAUACCGGUUGAUGUAAGCUAGUUAAGGUCUCUAGAAGAUACCUGAUUGCUUCUGAGGGUAUACUGAAUCAUGUCGGUUCUAGGAGCCCGGGUGUUUUUUUUUUUUUGGUCUAUCCUUCUCUCGAUGCUGUCACACUUAAGGAUGUCAGAUGUAUCCUCGCUUGAGUGAGGGAAACAGAAGAAGGCUCCUCCUGUAAUUCAGCCUUCCAUUCUUCCCUAAUGUAAUUACGACUUAGGUAUUACUGGAUAUCUCUGGCAGCGGGGCUGUGCUGUUUUUCAUGCUUUUUAUGGCCACCCAGUUUUGCUCACCUCGGCCAUAAUGCAUAAGGGUGUGCAAUGCCUUCUGAUGUCC